UACGUAGGGUGCAAGCGUUAAUCGGAAUUACUGGGCGUAAAGCGUGCGCAGGCGGUGAUGUAAGACAGAUGUGAAAUCCCCGGGCUCAACCUGGGAACUGCAUUUGUGACUGCAUCGCUGGAGUACGGCAGAGGGGGAUGGAAUUCCGCGUGUGGCAGUGAAAUGCGUAGAUAUGCGGAGGAACACCGAUGGCGAAGGCAAUCCCCUGGGCCUGUACUGACGCUCAUGCACGAAAGCGUGGGGAGCAAAAGGG
This 253-nucleotide ribosomal RNA is filed under the name uncultured bacterium. RNAcentral describes it as "partial 16S ribosomal RNA". It matches the Rfam family "Bacterial small subunit ribosomal RNA", at positions 524 to 776 of the family's 1533-position model. The record is from RNAcentral.